RNAcentral lists this ribosomal RNA (3224 nucleotides) under Durio zibethinus. RNAcentral describes it as "eukaryotic LSU rRNA". The stretch from base 396 to 3224 matches the Rfam family "Eukaryotic large subunit ribosomal RNA", at positions 1 to 2587 of the family's 3401-position model. The record is from RNAcentral. Lineage: Eukaryota; Viridiplantae; Streptophyta; Magnoliopsida; Malvales; Malvaceae.
ACAACUCUCAGCAACGAAUAUCUCAGCUUUCACAUCGAUGAAGAACAUAGUGAAAUACGAUACUUGGUAUGAAUUGCAGAAUCCCGUGAACCAUCGAGUCUUUAAACAGAAGUUGCGCCCAAAGCCAUUAGGCUGAGGACACGCCUGCCUGGGUGUCAUGCACCAUCACCCCCCCUCCAACCCUCCGCUCGUCAGGCUCCGAGGGAAGAGAGCAGGUAGAAGAUGGCCUCUCGUGAUCAGUCGAUCGCGGUUGGCCCAAAAUUGAGUCCCCGGUAAUGACAGCGCCGUGACCAUCGAUGGUAGAGCUCCCGACGUGCCUCAUCCCAAAUGAUGCAUGCUCGUUGUCCACCCGGACCCACUCGGACCCCCCGUAUCGCUCGAUCGAUGCUUGCAUCGUGACCCAGGUCAGGUGGGAUCACUCGCUGAGUUUAAGCAUAUCAAUAAGUGGAGGAAAAGAAACUUACCAAGAUUCCCCUAGUAACGGCGAGCGAACCAGGAAGAGCCCAGCUUGAGAAUCAGGUGCCCCCAACAUUUGAAUUGUAGUUUGAAGAAGCAUCCUCAGUGGCGGACCGGGCCCAAGUCUCUUGAAAAGCGGCAUCGGAGAGGGUGAGAGCCCCGUUGUGCCCGGACCCUGUCACACCAUAAGGCGCUGUCCGCAAGUCGGGUUGUUUGGGAAUGUAGCCCUAAUCGGGCAGUAAAUUCUACCCAAGGCUGAAUACAGGCAAGAGAUCGAUAGCGAACAAGUACCGUGAGGGAAAGAUGAAAAAGACUUUGAAAAGAGAGUCAAAGAGUGCUUGAAAUUAUCAGAAGUGAAGCAGAUGCGGGUCACGGCGGUGGCCCAAACCUGAGCUUUCGAUGUGCCCACAGAGACAUCAUGGUCGCGAUCAUGCAAUGCAACACGCACCAUCUCGGGGUGCUUCAACACCUCACCUGCUCCCAGCGUCGGCCUAUGGGCUCCCCAUCCGGCCCGUCUUGAAACAUGGACCAAGCAGUCUGACAUGUGUGUGAGUCAAUGGGCCAAAAAACCCGUAAGACGUAAGAAAGUUGAUUGGCAGGAUCCUUCACGGGUGCACCGCUGAUCGACUUUGAUCUUUUGAGAAGGGUUCGAGUGCGAGCAUGCCCGUCGGGACCCGAAAGAUGGUGAACUAUGGCUGAACGAGAUGAAGCCAGAAGAAACUCUGGUGGAGGCCCGUAACAAUACUGACGUGUAAAUCGUUCAUUUGACUUGGGCAUAGGGGCGAAAGACUAAUCAACCGUCUAUUAGCUGGUUCCUUUCGGAGUUUCCCUCAAGAUAGCUGGAGCCCCCGUCGAGUUCUAUCGAGUAAAGGCAAUGAUUAGAGGCAUCGGGGGCUGCUUCAUUGAGUAGUGCCAUGAAAUCAAGAGCUCCAAGUGGGCCAUUUUUUGUAAGUAGAACUGGUGAUGCAGGAUGAACCGAAAGUCGGGUUAUGAUGCCCAACUGCGUGCUAACCCAAAACCCAUAAAGGGUGUUGGUCGAUUAAGAUAGUAGGAUAGUGGUCAUGAAAGUUGAAAUCUGCCAAGCAGUGUGUAACAACUCACUUGCCAAAUCAACUAGCCCCGAAAAUGGAUGGCACUUCAACGCAUGACCUAUACCCGGCCGUUGGGGCAGGGGCAAGGGCCAAGCCUCGAUGAGUAGGAGGGCACGACGAUCGUCGUAAAACCUAGGGUACGAGCCUAGGCAGAACGACUGUCGGUGCAGAUCUUGGUAGUAGUAGCAAAUAUUCAAAUGAGAACUUUGAAAGUCGAAAAAGGGAAAGGUUCCAUGUGAAUGGCACUUACACAUGGGUUAGUCGAUCCUAAGAGACGGGGGAAACUCGUCUGACAGUGUGUCCCAUGUAAGCUUUAAAAGGGAAUCAGGUUAAAAUUCUUGAACCGAGACACGACGGUUGACGACAACGUUAGAAAGUUCAGAGACAUCAGCGGGGGCCUCGGGAAGAGUUAGCUUUUCUGUUUAACGACCCACCCACCCUGGAAACGGCUCAGUCGGAGGUAGGGUCCAGUGGCCGGAAGAGCACCGCACGUCGCAUGGUGUCCGGUGCGCCCCCGAUGGCCCUUGAAAAUUCAGAGGAUCGAGUGCCAUCCAAGCCCGAUCAUACUCAUUACCGCAUCAGGUCUCCAAGGUGAACAGCCUUUGGUCGAUGGAACAAUGUAGGCAAGGAAAGUCGGUAAAAUGGAUCCGUAACCUCAGGAAAAAGAUUGGCUCUGAGGGCUGGGCAUAGGGGUCCCAGUCCCGAACCCAUCAGCUAUCGGUGCACUGCUUGAGCUACUCUCACGAUGAGACGGGUCACCGCAUGCCGACCGAGGGAUGGAUUGGGAACGGCACCCUCGGGGGCCUUCCCCGAGCAUCGAGCAGUCGAUUCAGAACAGGUAUGGAUAAGGGGAAUCCGACUGUUUAAUUAAAACAAAGCAUUGUGAUGGUCCCUGCAGAUACUCACGCAAUGUGAUUUCUACCCAGUGCUCUGAAUGUCAAAGUGAAGAAAUUCAACCAAGCGCAGGUAAACGACGGGAGUAACUAUGACUCUUUUAAGGUAGCCAAAUGCCUCGUCAUCUAAUUAGUGACGCGCAUGAAUGGAUUAACAAGAUUCCCACUAUCCCUGUCUACUAUCCAAUGAAACCACAGCCAAGGGAAUAGGCUUGGCGAAAUCAACGGGGAAAGAAGACCCUGUUAAGCUUGACUCUAGUCUAACUUUGUGAAAUGACUUGAGAGGUGCGAAAUGACUUCGAUUCGUCCCUCCCCUUUCCCUCACCGACCUUUCUUCUUUUCACGUCACCCCCAUCCGAGGUUGGUUAUGACCCAGGGCCUUCCGUCCUUCGGUCCCGAUCGAGAAUGAACUUCCCUCGCCCCAAUCAGCCCACGAAACGAGCGUGUGGGCACUGAACCGAUCGCGGGGGCAGGAUGUGCGAGCCAAAGAUCUUGCUACAGGUCCCCCUUGGUUGUUGCCGUAAACGCCCUCGACAGCGUCUGGCCCUUGGUUGGUCAAGACUAGGAACGCACUACGUAUGUCUAAGUCAACCCAUGAAACGAGCGUACGGGUACCCAGCCUAACUGAGAGGUAAAAUGUGCAAGCUGAGGAUCGACUCGAUCCCCUUUUGUGUGCAACAGAUCUCACUACGAAUCUCUCGGUCCGACUGAGGCUUAGACUAAGAAUGAACUCUGUAUGCCUAAGUCAACCCACGAAAUGAGCGUGCGGGCACUGAGCCAGCCA